RNAcentral lists this transfer RNA (73 nucleotides) under Ruminococcus sp. AM23-1. RNAcentral describes it as "tRNA-Val". It matches the Rfam family "tRNA". Rfam says of the family: Transfer RNA (tRNA) molecules are approximately 80 nucleotides in length. Their secondary structure includes four short double-helical elements and three loops (D, anti-codon, and T loops). Lineage: Bacteria; Bacillati; Bacillota; Clostridia; Eubacteriales; Oscillospiraceae. The record is from RNAcentral.
GGGAUCUUAGCUCAGCUGGGAGAGCAUCUGCCUUACAAGCAGAAGGUCAUAGGUUCGAGCCCUAUAGGUCCCA